ACGGGUGAGUAACGCGUGGGAACAUACCCUUUUCUACGGAAUAGCUCUGGGAAACUGGAAUUAAUACCGUAUACGCCCUACGGGGGAAAGAUUUAUCGGGGAAGGGUUGGCCCGCGUUGGAUUAGCUAGUUGGUGGGGUAAAGGCCUACCAAGGCGACGAUCCAUAGCUGGUCUGAGAGGAUGAUCAGCCACAUUGGGACUGAGACACGGCCCAAACUCCUACGGGAGGCAGCAGUGGGGAAUAUUGGACAAUGGGCGCAAGCCUGAUCCAGCCAUGCCGCGUGAGUGAUGAAAGCCUUAGGGUUGUAAAGCUCUUUCACCGAUGAAGAUAAUGACGGUAGUCGGAGAAGAAGCCCCGGCUAACUUCGUGCCAGCAGCCGCGGUAAUACGAAGGGGGCUAGCGUUGUUCGGAAUUACUGGGCGUAAAGCGCACGUAGGCGGAUAUUUAAGUCAGGGGUGAAAUCCCAGAGCUCAACUCUGGAACUGCCUUUGAUACUGGGUAUCUUGAGUAUGGAAGAGGUAAGUGGAAUUGCGAGU
This 537-nucleotide ribosomal RNA is filed under the name uncultured bacterium. RNAcentral describes it as "bacterial SSU rRNA". It matches the Rfam family "Bacterial small subunit ribosomal RNA", at positions 102 to 674 of the family's 1533-position model. The record is from RNAcentral.